Molecule: long non-coding RNA, 229 nt
Filed under: Elaeis guineensis (African oil palm)
Lineage: Eukaryota; Viridiplantae; Streptophyta; Magnoliopsida; Arecales; Arecaceae
Description: long non-coding RNA (EGUI_LNC031453)
Source: RNAcentral
GGUCCACUGCGGCUCCCAUGGACCAUCGGUCCACGCACGGUGUGAGAAAUCCAUGCGGGCCAUGCCUGCGUGCGCCCGCACAUGUGCUCUCCUAGACCGGGGCCGCGUACCAUAUGCAUCCGUGUGUCCGCACGCUAGGCCGCGUGCUCGUGGCUGGCCUGCACGCCAUCGUACCCGCUCGCUCUACCACGGCUGCCACCAGCUUCUGUCGCUCCAUAGAUCAUGCCAC